Long non-coding RNA from Glycine soja, 1325 nucleotides. RefSeq lists it as uncharacterized. The transcript has 3 exons. NCBI's taxonomy places the organism in Eukaryota, Viridiplantae, Streptophyta, Magnoliopsida, Fabales, Fabaceae. The record is from RefSeq and is a predicted model, not a curated record.
GUUUUUAGUAAAAACCCGUCGUAAUUUUCAAAAUAAAAAAAAAACAAAACCGCAACCUCGUCGUCCUCUGCUACGAACUCCUUUCUUUGUUCUGCUUGUCCUUUCUUUGAACCCUAGCACCGGUUUUUCAAAACCCGUCGCAAGAGAAAAACGCGGUGGUAAUUCAUUGAACUUGAAAAGAAGAUCUGAAUCCGAAAUCACUUCAGCUCUUCCAUCAUCCUCCUCUUCUCAUUCUCCAAGCCCCUCAGCUUCCUCCCCAAACACUGCAAGAGAGAUCUAGAGGCAACAAAUCUUCUUGAUGGAGCUUUAGAGGUGACAGAUCUGUUCAUAGAUCUCUCUGGUGUUCCUGCUCGUGUUUGUUGCCAUAAUUGGAACCAGCACGGCCUCGAAGACGACAAUCUCGUAGGGCUUUUACCAGAAUAGAAGUCUCUGGUGUUUCUGCUCAUGUUUGUUGGCAUCGUCUGAACGCGCCACCACAAACCGUGCACCGCUCGUCGUGCACUGGUGGCCUCCGCGAGGGGUUGAAGUCUUGAACCCUAAGUAGGGAAAACUGUUGAUUCUUACAGAGAGUCGUAGAUACACCUGCGAAGAAGAGGCGAAGUAAAUUUAGGAAGGUCUUGGAAAUUCGAGGGCCACACUGGCUGUGUCAAUGCGGUGGCUUGGAAUUCCAAAGGUUCGUUACUGAUAUCUGGAUCAGAUGAUCAACGGGUAUGGCACAUAUUUUAUGUCAUUUGUAGUUCUGUAGUCUCAUACACUAGAAUGGGAGAUUCUUUUUUGGAAAUAUAUGAGAAAUGAACUUUGACAUAUUUUAGGGUCCAUGAAACUAUUGAAUAUGUUUUUUCAUAUAGAAUGUUCCAUUAUAAAAUUCCCCUGUCUUCUUGAUGGGCUAAAAUGAAGUUUCUUUGUCCAUGAUUAAAUGAGAGACUUUGACAUCUCUGCCACUUAUUGUGCUUGCUUCUAGUUCUCACACAGUUGUGAUUUAUUUUCAAACCAAGUAGAGAGAAUGAUCAAGAAGCAUCAAACUACAGAGAAUAAUUCUUUUGUUUGUCUUACGUCUUGUUUUGCCUGAUAUAAUUUAUAAUUAUUGAGUCAUGACUAGUUUGAAAAGUUCAGUUCUAACUCUCAAAAGGUAGCAAACAGACUGAUAGAGUCAUGGAGCAAAUGAUUCCAGCCUCUCUGUUUUUGGUUUAUACUAACCCUCUUAGACUGCUUUAGCAGCAGAAGGCAUUGAAUUGUUUUUCUGAAAUUUUGCUUGAUAUUGUCUUACCUAAUUUGGCUUAUUUUUUUUUUUGUGAUUUAACAAAUUCCUUGAUAUUAUCCUUUGU